Molecule: transfer RNA, 41 nt
Filed under: Pueraria pulcherrima
Lineage: Eukaryota; Viridiplantae; Streptophyta; Magnoliopsida; Fabales; Fabaceae
Description: partial tRNA-Glu
Source: RNAcentral
AACGGAUUACGAGUAAUCUGUGUCGAUCUCACUAAAGUGCA